This 824-nucleotide ribosomal RNA is filed under the name uncultured bacterium. Its description in RNAcentral is "bacterial SSU rRNA". It matches the Rfam family "Bacterial small subunit ribosomal RNA", at positions 60 to 859 of the family's 1533-position model. The record is from RNAcentral.
AGUCGAACGGAGAAUUUUAUUUCGGUAGAAUUCUUAGUGGCGAACGGGUGAGUAACGCGUAGGCAACCUACCCUUUAGACGGGGACAACAUUCCGAAAGGAGUGCUAAUACCGGAUGUGAUCAUCUUGCCGCAUGGCAGGAUGAAGAAAGAUGGCCUCUACAAGUAAGCUAUCGCUAAAGGAUGGGCCUGCGUCUGAUUAGCUAGUUGGUAGUGUAACGGACUACCAAGGCGAUGAUCAGUAGCCGGUCUGAGAGGAUGAACGGCCACAUUGGGACUGAGACACGGCCCAAACUCCUACGGGAGGCAGCAGUGGGGAAUCUUCCGCAAUGGACGAAAGUCUGACGGAGCAACGCCGCGUGAGUGAUGAAGGAUUUCGGUCUGUAAAGCUCUGUUGUUUAUGACGAACGUGCAGUGUGUGAACAAUGCAUUGCAAUGACGGUAGUAAACGAGGAAGCCACGGCUAACUACGUGCCAGCAGCCGCGGUAAUACGUAGGUGGCGAGCGUUGUCCGGAAUUAUUGGGCGUAAAGAGCAUGUAGGCGGCUUAAUAAGUCGAGCGUGAAAAUGCGGGGCUCAACCCCGUAUGGCGCUGGAAACUGUUAGGCUUGAGUGCAGGAGAGGAAAGGGGAAUUCCCAGUGUAGCGGUGAAAUGCGUAGAUAUUGGGAGGAACACCAGUGGCGAAGGCGCCUUUCUGGACUGUGUCUGACGCUGAGAUGCGAAAGCCAGGGUAGCGAACGGGAUUAGAUACCCCGGUAGUCCUGGCCGUAAACGAUGGGUACUAGGUGUAGGAGGUAUCGACCCCUUCUGUGCCGGAGUUAACGCA